AUACGUAGGGAGCGAGCGUUGUCCGGAAUUACUGGGCGUAAAGGGCGCGUAGGCGGCGCUUCAAGUCGUCUGUCAAAUGGGAGGGCUUAACCCUUUUUCGCAGACGAAGCUGGAGAGCUUGAGAAGCAGAGAGGCAAACAGAAUUCCUGGUGUAGCGGUGAAAUGCGUAGAUAUCAGGAAGAAUACCAGUGGCGAAGGCGGUUUGCUGGCUGCAUACUGACGCUGAAGCGCGAAAGCCAGGGGAGCAAACGGGAUUAGAUACCCCGGUAGUCCUGGCAGUAAACGAUGUAUGCUGGGUGUGAGACUAGCGAUAGUUUCGUGCCGAAGUUAACGCGAUAAGCAUACCGCCUGGGGAGUACGGUCGCAAGAUUGAAACUCAAAGGAAUUGACGGGG
Molecule: ribosomal RNA, 394 nt
Filed under: uncultured bacterium
Lineage: Bacteria
Description: partial 16S ribosomal RNA
Rfam family: Bacterial small subunit ribosomal RNA
Source: RNAcentral